UGCUGCAUGGCUGUCGUCAGCUCGUGUCGUGAGAUGUUGGGUUAAGUCCCGCAACGAGCGCAACCCUUGUCAUUAGUUGCUACGAAAGGGCACUCUAAUGAGACUGCCGGCGACAAACCGGAGGAAGGUGGGGAUGACGUCAAGUCCUCAUGGCCCUUAUGGGUAGGGCUUCACACGUCAUACAAUGGUACAUACAGAGCGCCGCCAACCCGCGAGGGGGAGCUAAUCGCAGAAAGUGUAUCGUAGUCCGGAUUGUAGUCUGCAACUCGACUGCAUGAAGUUGGAAUCGCUAGUAAUCGCGGAUCAGCAUGUCGCGGUGAAUACGUUCCCGGUCUUGUACCACACGCAUC
This 350-nucleotide ribosomal RNA is filed under the name uncultured bacterium. RNAcentral describes it as "bacterial SSU rRNA". It matches the Rfam family "Bacterial small subunit ribosomal RNA", at positions 1039 to 1386 of the family's 1533-position model. The record is from RNAcentral.